This 257-nucleotide ribosomal RNA is filed under the name Klebsiella pneumoniae. Its description in RNAcentral is "partial 16S ribosomal RNA". It matches the Rfam family "Bacterial small subunit ribosomal RNA", at positions 327 to 576 of the family's 1533-position model. Lineage: Bacteria; Pseudomonadati; Pseudomonadota; Gammaproteobacteria; Enterobacterales; Enterobacteriaceae. The record is from RNAcentral.
CGGUCCAGACUCCUACGGGAGGCAGCAGUGGGGAAUAUUGCACAAUGGGCGCAAGCCUGAUGCAGCCAUGCCGCGUGUGUGAAGAAGGCCUUCGGGUUGUAAAGCACUUUCAGCGGGGAGGAAGGCGGUGAGGUUAAUAACCUCAUCGAUUGACGUUACCCGCAGAAGAAGCACCGGCUAACUCCGUGCCAGCAGCCGCGGUAAUACGGAGGGUGCAAGCGUUAAUCGGAAUUACUGGGCGUAAAGCGCACGCCGGC